AACGAACGCUGGCGGCAUGCCUAACACAUGCAAGUUGAGCGAGAACCAGAGGGCUUGCUCUUUGGGGAAAGCGGCGCACGGGUGAGUAACGCGUGGAUAACGUGCCCUGGGGUUGGGGAUAACCCACCGAAAGGUGAGCUAAUACCGAAUGUGUUCCAAGAGGGCUAGCCUUUUUGGAAGAAAGUGGGGCAACCCACGCCCGAGGAUCGGUCCGCGUUCCAUCAGCUAGUUGGUAGGGUAAAGGCCUACCAAGGCUACGACGGAUAGCUG
This 270-nucleotide ribosomal RNA is filed under the name uncultured bacterium. Its description in RNAcentral is "partial 16S ribosomal RNA". It matches the Rfam family "Bacterial small subunit ribosomal RNA", at positions 29 to 289 of the family's 1533-position model. The record is from RNAcentral.